RNAcentral lists this long non-coding RNA (1886 nucleotides) under Octopus sinensis (East Asian common octopus). Its description in RNAcentral is "uncharacterized LOC118765489". Lineage: Eukaryota; Metazoa; Mollusca; Cephalopoda; Octopoda; Octopodidae. The record is from RNAcentral.
UGUCAGAUAUGGUCAGGUUAAAUGCAAAAGGGUCAAGCUGAUUCAUUGUCUUUUCUUUCAAUGCUUUCAGGACAAAUGUAUGCUAUUCUCUUUAAUGUGCUGGCUACCAACGAACAAAUUAUUUGAUGCAAAAACUAAUCCAGAUCAGUUUUAAUCAAGGUUAUUAUGGCUAAGGUGUUAUACACAUCCAUUGUAGCAGUAAUCUGGCAUUUAUAAAAUAUUUUCUGCAUAUUUAUGAUAGUUUCAUAAUACAGUCACAGUUUUUAUAAGAUGCAAAGCGAAUUCAUACAUUUUAUUCAUACAUUUUAUUUACAUUUGAAAGAUAUUUUAUUAGGUAUGUCUUUUUGACUUUACUCAGUGUAAUAAGCCAGCUUAAAAGGUGAUUUAGAUAAAAUGCCAUCAAAUUUUAACAAAAACUAUUCACUGCACAAAUCAUACAUUGAUUGGGCUUAAAUAAAUUCUAGUGAUUGUGCAGGAAAAAUAGUUUUAUUCACUGAGAAUUCAGCUCUGUCAGUUGAGUUAACGAUAAUCUCUUUUUGCUAACCUUCACUUUAUCUCCUUUGUUGUCAUUUAUAAGUCUCUUAUCCCUCUCUCUCUCUCUCUCUCUCUCUCUCUCUCUCUCUCUCUCUCUCUCUCUCUCUCUCUUUCUUUCUUUCUCUCUCUCUCUCGCUCCUCUCUCUCUCUCUCUCUCUCUCUGUCCCCUCUCUCUCUCUCUUUCUCUCUCUGGUAUCUAUUGCACACUAGUAUCUCGUAUUUACUGGCCUGUCUAACAACCAUGGACAUAAACAAAAUGAAAAAUAAACUAGCUGAAAAGAAGUACUACUAUAUCUCACCAACAACCAAGAGAAAAAUAAUUGAGGUGGCCUUCUACUUGGGCUUAAUGGCUUUCCUUAGUAUUUUCAUGGUGGUGUAUUAUGUAUUUCUGUAUUCCCCAAAGAAAAGGAGUAUAUAUCAUAUGUAACCAUCUAUUCACUGAAAGUGUCAUUAAUCCACAAUUCUUGCACUAGUUUGGUUAGUAAUGUAAUUUAGGUUAUUUAACAUGCAUCAGUUUUAGUGUACAUGAACAAACCAUAAUAUUAUACACACUUUGUCAAAGAUUUUAAAAGACAUUUGCUGAGAAGACAAAUACAAAAAGAAUUCUGAUGAAAAAAAUCAAGAAGUUUUCCAUUGAAAAGAAAUGGCAUUCCUAUGUCACCAAUGCAUGCUGACGUUAUGCUGUCCAACAAAACGGUAUUCCAGAUUUUGUCAAAAACUUUGCGGAAACAAACCAUCACAGCAUGCUCGCACUUCAGCAUUCUAACAUCAGGACUGGAAAAAUUGUAGGAAUAUUAACAGUUGUAGGAAAUCUCAGCAUUAUACUUACUACACAGAUCAUUUCGGUGUUGUGAAAUAACUGUACAAAUCAAUAGUAACUAGGACAUGGUGAGCUCCAGUGAGUCGAAUUCAUAAAAUGGUUUCGCAUCCUUGUUUCGCUAUUUCACUUCACUAAUAUUGCUGAAACUCUUAUUAAAGGCUUCAAUGCCAUACAAUUCCUUAUUCUUUACCAAUGAGUUUGUGGCCAUUUAUUUAAAUAAAAAUGUUCACAGCAUCCACCAAGAUAUAGCUAGACAAUAUACUGCCAUAAACCUCUCAGAACAUCACAUAGACUUUAUCUCAAAGAAUAGUUAAAAUCUCAAAGAAUAGUUAAAUUUCCUUAACAACUGACAAAAAAAUUGGUAAAGAAUAUCGCGUUCUUCAGUGUAAACUAAUUCUUGUUAUGUUUUCUUUGAGUGCUCCCAAAACCAGAUCCAAAGUACAAUAAUGAAUUUUUCCUUCGUAAAAAUAUUUCUAAAAUCAUGACUCGCACCACUCAAGUUUAAUAAAAAUGGUUACAUCACUUAUAAAAA